Molecule: transfer RNA, 85 nt
Filed under: Felis catus (domestic cat)
Lineage: Eukaryota; Metazoa; Chordata; Mammalia; Carnivora; Felidae
Rfam family: tRNA
About the family: Transfer RNA (tRNA) molecules are approximately 80 nucleotides in length.
Source: Rfam by way of RNAcentral
UCCUGAGUGGCUCAGUUGGCUGAGCGCCUGACUUCAGCUCAGGUCAUGAUCUCACAGUUCAUGGGUUCGAGCCCCGCAUCGGGUU